AAAGUUUUAGUAUAAUUUUAGUAUUUCUCAUUGUCGAUGAGAUGGUUGAUAACUUUA
This 57-nucleotide transfer RNA is filed under the name Strongyloides cebus. Its description in RNAcentral is "tRNA-Asp". Lineage: Eukaryota; Metazoa; Nematoda; Chromadorea; Rhabditida; Strongyloididae. The record is from RNAcentral.